Molecule: unclassified non-coding RNA, 316 nt
Filed under: air metagenome
Description: partial contains small subunit ribosomal RNA, internal transcribed spacer 1, and 5.8S ribosomal RNA
Rfam family: Eukaryotic small subunit ribosomal RNA (bases 1-46)
Source: RNAcentral
AAGUCGUAACAAGGUUUCCGUAGGUGAACCUGCGGAAGGAUCAUUAUCGAGUCAUUUGAAAAGGGUUGCAGCUGGCCUCUCGGGGCAAGUGCUCGCCUCGCUCAAAAUUCCACUCUUUCAAAAACACCCCUGUGCACUUUAUAAAAUCUCUCCGUGCCGGUCUCUCUUCCUCCACCCCCCCUUGAAGAGGGGGUGGGGGGGAUGGCCUUGCGGGGAGGGCAUUUUAUCUCAUCGACAACACCUUUUUUUGAGUCAUUUGGAAGCAAAAUCAUUUUAAACAUAAGAACAACUUUCAACAACGGAUCUCUUGGCUCUC